AUGAUAUCCAAGAACUCGUAGCCGGCGCUUAAUAAACGGGCAACAACACAUUUCUUUUUUUACGGAUUCAGUUUUGGCGCUGCUGGCGGAUAGUGCUGAUGUUUCGCGUUUUACAAGAUUACUCGUCGUGUUUGUCUGCUCUUUUCUCUUUUUUGCUGUCUAACUCUAUUGCAAAAAUAUCGCUCGUUCGUCGUCAACACGACUAUUUCGAGCAAGCGGCCAGACGAAAAAUUUCUGGACCGUUUCUUAAAUGUUAGCGACCUCUUUCAUGACGCGUAGUAAUCCGACUUCCUCAUGUUUCUGUGCCCCGGAUUCCCGUGAACGGUGCGCAGUUAAGGAGAUUGGACGAGAGUAUCCGGCAGCCGAAGAAACUGUACAGAGGAGUAUUACGUGGCAUCCCGUAUCAGAGGACGUGAUUAUUAAGGCCAACGGCAGUUAAACUUUGAUGAACAUUUUUCAACUAAUGCGUACUGCCCUAUACACUGGGCAAUACUUGAUACUGGUCAAUAAAUCCAAAUAGAGAUUAUAAAACCAGUUUUUUCCACCAAAAUUAAGGGGUGGUGACACUGUGAAGAACUAACUAGAGCAAUCUAAGAUUUUGUUUUUCAAGUCGUUGGGGGGUGAACCGUCGAUUACUACGAUGACGAGAUUUGAUUUAUUUGUUUACAGGAAACGAGGACGACGUGGGAGGCGGGGCCAACUUGACAAGCCCACGGUCAAUCACUUUUGCCUGAGCUAGUGAGCACACAAUGUCUCAAGAACGUCGUACAGUAUGUUGCAGGAAAUGUUUCCUACCCGUCAAAUAAGUUAAAUGGACAAAGGGGGACACUUUCCUGCAAUUUACUAUAGCCAAUCAUUGGUUAGCUAUGUGCAUUUCUAGAUCGGCUCCAAGAAAGUCAAUUAACCAAUAUUUUCAAAUACUUAAUUGAAGUUUUCAAGUGUUAUAUAUGUUCAAUUUUGUUAUAGACACUUGACUUAUUUUUACUCUGGCACGCGUUGUUGUGCUGUUUGACAAUGAACCACGUAUGAAAUCGCCAAUUCAAAUCAUAAACUUCGUCUUUAAUUAAUUCCUUGGUCGUUGGCUGAUCGUUCAACUUCAAUUUUCCAAUUUAAA
Daphnia pulicaria is the source of this 1114-nucleotide long non-coding RNA. RefSeq lists it as uncharacterized. Lineage: Eukaryota; Metazoa; Arthropoda; Branchiopoda; Diplostraca; Daphniidae. The record is from RefSeq and is a predicted model, not a curated record. The transcript is spliced from 3 exons.